GUAAAAGUGAAACAGCUCAGUGAUAACAGCGGUGCACAGGCUCACUAAACUACCUGCAAGUACAACACUUUAUAAUCAGUGCAUAAACACUGAUGAGGACACAGUGUCUGCAGUGAUCUCCCCCUUCACUCUGCACUUCAGUGGACAAAAUAAGGGAAACUCCACAUGAUUCAACUUCAAAGUAAUUAAAUCAAAGCUGCUGAGGCAGUUAAGUUAUUUGCCUGACUGACAGUUGAAAUUGUCUGUCUGCCAGCUUCAGAAGAGACAGUCAACGCCUCCACUUUUAGUAUGAGUGAGUUAACAGACUUCGAGAGAGGCCAAAUAGUCGGUGCCCAGCUUUCAGGUUUGUCUGUCAGAAAAACUGCCCAGUUAUGUGGUGUAUCAAGUGGAACUGUCCUCGAAGUCAUGAGUGCUUAUAACAAACACCGACAUACUGCAUCAGCAAAGAAGAACAGUAAGCACGAGCCACAGACGAAAAGGACAAGGCCGACAAAAGCUGGUGCUAAUGGAGGAGCUGCCAGUGGGAAACCAGUAUCUGACUCUGACGUUGACACACACAACCCCGAUGAAGAGAGCAAAGACAAGGAGUAAUUUGAGCUGUAUUUCAGACUACAUUUAGACUGGUUAAUGUCUAAAGUCACAGGAUACCUUCAUUUAAACCACAAUUUUAAUUCCUUUUAAAUAUUUUUUUACAUUUUAAUAAUUUUUGGGAAGGCUUCAGAAUGGGCAGAAAAUUAUUUUUUAUAAGCUUAAUACCUUUAGUUCAAUUUAAACCAGUGGUAGAGAAAUGUCCUUACUGUACAUUCCUAUUUUGAAAGCAGAGAGUUUUCACCUAUGUGCAGGCAGUAAGCAGUGUUUUACACUGACAUUUGCAUGCUAGUUGCAAUCCACUAAGGUCCAUGUACUGGUAUUUGUUUAUGGAUUUCUAAAAGAUGAGACAUUCCAUUUAGUUGAGGAGAAAUAAAGACAAAACCCCUGAAAAGAGAUAAAAAGGACUUAGAAGUGAAGGUGUUGAAGUGGACCUGUUCAUUCAAAGAAAAAUGUGCUGAAUUUGUGUCUGUGUUUGUGGAGACUGCUGUGCAAUGGUUUCAAUAAGAGAAAAUACAUCUAUGGUCUCCUGUCA
Micropterus dolomieu (smallmouth bass) is the source of this 1123-nucleotide long non-coding RNA. RefSeq lists it as uncharacterized. The record is from RefSeq and is a predicted model, not a curated record. Lineage: Eukaryota; Metazoa; Chordata; Actinopteri; Centrarchiformes; Centrarchidae. The transcript has 2 exons.